AUGGAAGUGGACUGCCCUACAACAGCAUCAAGAGCGAUGAUCUUCUUAGUAACAUGCCUAAGAAAAUGUGCAUCCGUAAUCUCAUAUAUGCCAACUAGUUCUCAACAACAUGCAUCCAGAAAACAAAACAACAACCAUGGGAAGGGGCUGCCAACCCUGAGAUAUUUGGCAUCAGCACAUUUGGCCCGAUCAGUCGGCGAGGUCGACAAGCUAGCUAGGACCCCACCCAGUGCAAUCAAGGCCAUGAAGACAACCCUAGAAAUGUUCAACGUCAACUGGUAUGUCUGUCAUCUUCCAACAUUUUGGUCGAUUUGUAUUCUACUUGACCAUGUGCUAACCAGAGGUGGCUCUGUAUUGUUGGAUAUAAAUUUCCGAAUACUAACAAGAGUGUUGGAUAGAUUUCGGAAUACUGACCACACCUCUUGUUAG
RNAcentral lists this ribosomal RNA (429 nucleotides) under Triticum aestivum (bread wheat). RNAcentral describes it as "partial small subunit ribosomal RNA". The record is from RNAcentral. Lineage: Eukaryota; Viridiplantae; Streptophyta; Magnoliopsida; Poales; Poaceae.